RNAcentral lists this ribosomal RNA (207 nucleotides) under uncultured bacterium. RNAcentral's name for it is "partial 16S ribosomal RNA". It matches the Rfam family "Bacterial small subunit ribosomal RNA", at positions 568 to 774 of the family's 1533-position model. The record is from RNAcentral.
UGCGUAGGCGGUUUACUAAGUCAGAUGUGAAAGCCCCGGGUUUAACCUGGGAACUGCAUUUGAUACUGGUAGGCUAGAGUAUGAUAGAGGGGGGUAGAAUUCCUGGUGUAGCGGUGAAAUGCGUAGAUAUCAGGAGGAAUACCAGUGGCGAAGGCGGCCCCCUGGAUCAAUACUGACGCUGAGGUACGAAAGCGUGGGUAGCGAACA